GAUGAACGCUGGCGGCGUGCCUAAUACAUGCAAGUCGAGCGAACAGACGAGGAGCUUACUCCUCUGACGUUAGCGGCGGACGGGUGAGUAACACGUGGAUAACCUACCUAUAAGACUGGGAUAACUUCGGGAAACCGGAGCUAAUACCGGAUAAUAUAUUGAACCGCAUGGUUCAACAGUGAAAGACGGCUUUGCUGUCACUUAUAGAUGGAUCCGCGCCGCAUUAGCUAGUUGGUAAGGUAACGGCUUACCAAGGCAACGAUGCGUAGCCGACCUGAGAGGGUGAUCGGCCACACUGGAACUGAGACACGGUCCAGACUCCUACGGGAGGCAGCAGUAGGGAAUCUUCCGCAAUGGGCGAAAGCCUGACGGAGCAACGCCGCGUGAGUGAUGAAGGUCUUCGGAUCGUAAAACUCUGUUAUUAGGGAAGAACAAAUGUGUAAGUAACUAUGCACGUCUUGACGGUACCUAAUCAGAAAGCCACGGCUAACUACGUG
Molecule: ribosomal RNA, 497 nt
Filed under: uncultured bacterium
Lineage: Bacteria
Description: partial 16S ribosomal RNA
Rfam family: Bacterial small subunit ribosomal RNA
Source: RNAcentral